AUGUCACCUGGAACAUGGGACAUUGAAAAGACAAUAGCAAUGUGUGUCCAAGAAGAGGACAGACUCAAAGCCGCACAUGAUGGUUCAAUCAACUAUGUGAAGGAUUACAAGAAAAAGAACUACAAUCAAAACAACAAAAGUUCUCCUUCAAAGAAUGGAAAAGCCCCCUAUCAGCAUCAGCAUCAGCAACAACCUUUCUCAGUGGACAAAGACACGUGUCUCCACUGCAAGCAGAAAGGGCAUUACAAGAAAGACUGUGCUGCUUGGCUGAAGUCAGUCAUGGCAAAAAGAGGGAUUCCAUUCGACGCGAACUAUGCUAAGAAGCGAAAGACGCAUUGA
This 339-nucleotide ribosomal RNA is filed under the name Triticum aestivum (bread wheat). RNAcentral's name for it is "partial small subunit ribosomal RNA". The record is from RNAcentral. Lineage: Eukaryota; Viridiplantae; Streptophyta; Magnoliopsida; Poales; Poaceae.